Micropterus salmoides (largemouth bass) is the source of this 769-nucleotide long non-coding RNA. RefSeq lists it as uncharacterized. The transcript has 2 exons. Lineage: Eukaryota; Metazoa; Chordata; Actinopteri; Centrarchiformes; Centrarchidae. The record is from RefSeq and is a predicted model, not a curated record.
CUUUAGUUUCACAGUCAAGAGUCCUCGUCUGAGUCUCUGACACAGGAUCAGGGUUUUCUGUCGCCCAUGUUUCCAGUUUGACCGGUGGAUCAGUCACACUGGUGUCCAGUCUGAGUCCAGUUCUCCCUUUGGACUGUGUGUUUGGUUUCUUUUCUGCACAGCAGAAGUGUUUAACUCCAGCAGGACAAAGAAUGAAUGUGGAGAUUGUCCUGAGCUGACGAGAGUCAGAGUCCCAGUCUGAAGUCUUCUCCCAGUCCGGCUCUGACUGGUUUCCAGUUGGACAGGAAACUGUCUCUCAGUGCAGGGGUGAUUUUUGACUCCUGUCCUUCAUUUAACCCAGAUUCAUCACCCAGGUCCCUAAAACCUCUUUGUACAGAUUGUGAAGAACAAGCAACCUCGUCUUUUCUGUCCGCUUUGUACGACACCUUCUGCUCUACAUGGAUCUGAUGCCGUCACAGGAUUUGAACCAAACUUUAUUGAAACGAUGCUUCACGUCAAACUGUCGACUUCGUGUCAGUUAAACUUCAACAUGUUGCUGAAAAGGUCUCUGUUGUUGGUCCAGUUCUUGGUUGUUCUUGGCUGUUUUCUGGGGAUUAUUGCAUCUGGAUUCAUCCGGACUUCAUUCCUGCCGGCCUCUUCCUCUCAACAUGUUUGUGUUUCGGACUCCGCUCCUGGUUUUCCUCUCGCCUGCCUGCCUCAUCAUCAUUGGAAGCUUGUGUUCACCUUGUUUUGACUUAAUAAAUCAUGUUACAGUGAGCUGAGAGUCUGA